CACCAUUGGUGCUUCUCUUAGCUUCUCUAUCAUUGUUCUUGACAAGCAAGGAAAGUUCAAAAAAACAUUUUAGAAGCAGCUCAGAGACAUGGGUCCUCAAGUUGUUCAAUAUUUCACAAUCUUCCUCUUCUAUCUUUUCUUCAGCUCAGGUUCAAGUGUUGCAGAAACACCUCCUCUGGAACGAAUAGCAGACAACCGAGAAAAUCAAAUGAUUUUCUCAUCUCCAGUGUUCACCACUCAACUAGACACUACGGGAACGGUUCCCAUUGUGAACCCAACAACUCCUGGAACAACAAGCCCUAUUGCAAAUCCGAUAGAGUCACCUCCAGCACCAACUGUAGUAACGACGAACCCGCCAACACCCCCAGCCACUACAACUCCAAUGCCCCCAGCCACUACAACUCCAACCUCAUCAGGAGGAUCAUGGUGUAUUGCAAGUCCAACUGCUUCAGAAACUGCUUUACAGGUGGCUCUUGACUAUGCUUGCGGUUAUGGCGGUGCAGAAUGUUCAGCAAUUCAACCAGGUGCGAGUUGUUAUAACCCAAACACUGUCCGGGACCAUGCUUCUUAUGCCUUCAAUGAUUACUACCAGAAGAAUCCAAUUCCUACCAGUUGUGUCUUCGGCGGAACAGCACAACUUACAAACACUGACCCAAGUAAGAUGUAGUUGUUAAUGCAUAAUCAUUUAAUUCAUCUUUGAUUGCUGCGGAAGAUCUCACAUAACUUUGCAGACAUGCUGUCCUAAGGUGUUAGAAGCCUAGACUCACAGCUGUCAGCAACUCACUAUAUGAGAGUUUCUGAAACUCAUAAUGAUUUUCCUGAGUGAUUUCCUGACUUCUCUAUUUGCAUAUUCCAGGUAAUGGCAACUGUCACUACGCAUCGUCCAAUUCAACACGCAGCUUAAGCCCACCAACCCCAACAACUCCAACCACUACAUCCACUACACCAACAACGAUGACUCCACCAAUAACAACCACACCUAGUGGACCAACAAUUUUCGGCGUGGCAGAACCAACUGGCUUGCCCAGCUCAGCCACCUCUGUUUCAAUCAGUUUACUGCUCUUCUGUUCCACAGCAGCUAUU
Molecule: unclassified non-coding RNA, 1083 nt
Filed under: Hevea brasiliensis (rubber tree)
Lineage: Eukaryota; Viridiplantae; Streptophyta; Magnoliopsida; Malpighiales; Euphorbiaceae
Source: RNAcentral